UCAAACAUUAUUUUGUCUAAAAUAAAUUGAGUCACAAUGGACUAAAUAAUGAAUCCUAGAAAUCUCACCCAACUCUUACCAUACUUUAAUAUUUUCUUUUGUUUUCUUCUAGUAAUUUAUUUAAAAAUACCUAAUAAUUUUUUGUUAUUAUGCCUUUUAUAAUAUCUCAAGCAAGAAAAAAGGUCUUCAUUUUCUUUUUCAACCCCAACAUAGAUUUCUUUAAAAAAAUGGAACGGCGCUGGAAAACUCCAAGUCCGACAGAUUUUUUUAAUCAAAUGUAUUUUAGCUGUGUAUAUUAUGUACUACACACAAAUUUUAUGAAUAUACACCAAUAUACAUGAUGAUAUGUAAGAGAUACAUUGAUAUACGCACAAGAUAUGCAUGAAAGAUAUACACAUAUAUGGUGAAUAUGACAUGUCCCCAGAAGCUCCAUUUCUAACACAUUUUUUCAUCAAUAUGAUAAUGUAUAAACACCUACAUAUAUCACAUAGGUUUUCCUGUAUACACAUACAUGUUAGAAAUAAGAUGAGUAUCAGAA
This 538-nucleotide long non-coding RNA is filed under the name Capsicum annuum. RNAcentral describes it as "long non-coding RNA (CANN_LNC005514)". Lineage: Eukaryota; Viridiplantae; Streptophyta; Magnoliopsida; Solanales; Solanaceae. The record is from RNAcentral.